UGGACUUGGGAUGCGCUGGUGUCAAUCAGCCCUUCUAAAAUGUAGCUCUUGGCUGUUUCCUACUACAGCAGUUUGGCCUAAUAGUUUUGACUUUUGUCAAAUCUUUGGCUACAUUUGCUUCUGGAAAUCAGUCUUGAUAAUACAGAAAACUCAUUUCAAACUUUGAUCUGAAAUCAGGUAGGGCUACCCGCUGAACUUAA
RNAcentral lists this unclassified non-coding RNA (200 nucleotides) under soil metagenome. RNAcentral's name for it is "partial contains internal transcribed spacer 2 and large subunit ribosomal RNA". The record is from RNAcentral.